Molecule: ribosomal RNA, 258 nt
Filed under: uncultured bacterium
Lineage: Bacteria
Description: partial 16S ribosomal RNA
Rfam family: Bacterial small subunit ribosomal RNA
Source: RNAcentral
UGGCGGACGGGUGAGUAACGCGUGGGUAACCUGCCUCAUACAGGGGGAUAACAGUUAGAAAUGACUGCUAAUACCGCAUAAGCGCACAAAACCGCAUGGUUUGGUGUGAAAAACUGAGGUGGUAUGAGAUGGACCCGCGUCUGAUUAGCUAGUUGGAGAGGUAACGGCUCACCAAGGCAACGAUCAGUAGCCGACCUGAGGGGGUGAACGGCCACAUUGGGACUGAGACACGGCCCAAACUCCUACGGAAGGCAGCAG